Molecule: ribosomal RNA, 443 nt
Filed under: uncultured bacterium
Lineage: Bacteria
Description: partial 16S ribosomal RNA
Rfam family: Bacterial small subunit ribosomal RNA
Source: RNAcentral
CCUACGGGUGGCAGCAGUGGGGAAUAUUGGGCAAUGGGCGCAAGCCUGACCCAGCAACGCCGCGUGAAGGAAGAAGGCUCUCGGGUUGUAAACUUCUUUUAUCAGGGACGAAACAAAUGACGGUACCUGAUGAAUAAGCCACGGCUAACUACGUGACAGCAGCCGCGGUAAUACGUAGGUGGCAAGCGUUAUCCGGAUUUACUGGGUGGAAAGGGCGUGUAGGCGGGAGAGCAAGUCGGACGUGAAAUGCCAGGGCUCAACCGUGGAACUGCGUUGGAAACUAUUCUUCGUGAGUGAUGGAGAGGAAAGCGGAAUUCCUGGUGUAGCGGUGAAAUGCGUAGAUAUACGGAGGAACACCAGUGGCGAAGGCGACCUGCUGGACAUUAACUGACGCUGAGGCGCGAAAGCGUGGGGAGCAAACAGGAUUAGAUACCCGAGUAGUC